Molecule: ribosomal RNA, 475 nt
Filed under: uncultured organism
Description: partial 16S ribosomal RNA
Rfam family: Bacterial small subunit ribosomal RNA
Source: RNAcentral
GUACACUCCUACGGGAGGCAGCAGUGGGGAAUUUUGGACAAUGGGCGAAAGCCUGAUCCAGCAAUGCCGCGUGAGUGAAGAAGGCCUUCGGGUUGUAAAGCUCUUUUGUCAGGGAAGAAACGGUGAAAGCUAAUAUCUUUUGCUAAUGACGGUACCUGAAGAAUAAGCACCGGCUAACUACGUGCCAGCAGCCGCGGUAAUACGUAGGGUGCAAGCGUUAAUCGGAAUUACUGGGCGUAAAGCGUGCGCAGGCGGUUUUGUAAGUCUGAUGUGAAAUCCCCGGGCUCAACCUGGGAAUUGCAUUGGAGACUGCAAGGCUAGAAUCUGGCAGAGGGGGGUAGAAUUCCACGUGUAGCAGUGAAAUGCGUAGAUAUGUGGAGGAACACCGAUGGCGAAGGCAGCCCCCUGGGUCAAGAUUGACGCUCAUGCACGAAAGCGUGGGGAGCAAACAGGAUUAGAUACCCUGGUAGUCCCA